CUAGUAAGGAUCUAACGCUUAACUAAGUGUCAUAUCUUAUUUAUUCCAUCACUUUUAUUUGUUUACUUUUUAAGUUGCAUUUUAUUGGAGACUUUGCAGAGCAUAUAUUGACCAUUUUACCUCAUUGUGAUGGCAGGGGUGGGUAAAAGAAUUAAUUUCUGUCAAAUAUUUAAAAGGCUGCUGAUGUUAGCGUGUGUACAGUGUAAAUAAAGUAGAGUAGUUGUAACUUGUAAGUUGAGUAAACAGAUUAUCUCAAAAUGGUUAAAAUAUUUUCUGGAAAAUUUUCUGCAAAACUCUCAACUCAAAAAAAUUUCUGGCAAACUAGGUUCCCAGGUUCCGAUACUUUUUCCACCCGUACACCGUACGGCGCAGGCCGGUGGAAACAUGAACAUGGAGAUUGGAGAAGAUCGAUUUUUUGCACCUUUAUAGGGACCGGUCAUUAUUUAUGGCCGGGGGGGGGGGGAAGAGAAAAUGGGUGGGUAAGCAAAAUUUUAUGGGUGGAAAUGGGUUGGGUAAAGUAAAAAUC
Paramuricea clavata is the source of this 526-nucleotide non-coding RNA. The record is from the annotation of a GenBank genome assembly. NCBI's taxonomy places the organism in Eukaryota, Metazoa, Cnidaria, Anthozoa, Malacalcyonacea, Plexauridae.